CAAGGAAUCUUCCGCAAUGGGGGCAACCCUGACGGAGCAACGCCGCGUGGGGGAUGACGCCCUUCGGGGUGUAAACACCUUUUCUGCGGGAAGAAGGGCGGGGGCAACCGCGCCUUGACGGUACCGCAGGAAGAAGGACCGGCUAACUACGUGCCAGCAGCCGCGGGAAUACGUAGGGUCGGAGCGUUGUCCGGAGUUACUGGGAGUAAAGCGCGCGUAGGCGGCGGUGCGGGCCGGGCGUGAAAGCCCCCGGCUCAACCGGGGAGGGUCGUCGGGGACCGCACCGCUGGAGGGCGGUUGGGGUUGGUGGAAUGCCUGGUGUCGUGGUGCACUGCGUAGAGAUCAGGCGGAACACCCGUGGUGAAGGCGGCCAGCUGGGCCGUCCCUGACGCUGAGGCGCGAAGGCGUGGGGAGCGAACGGG
Molecule: ribosomal RNA, 422 nt
Filed under: Bacillota bacterium
Lineage: Bacteria; Bacillati; Bacillota
Description: Firmicutes bacterium partial 16S ribosomal RNA
Rfam family: Bacterial small subunit ribosomal RNA
Source: RNAcentral